This 77-nucleotide transfer RNA is filed under the name Desulfobacter sp. Its description in RNAcentral is "tRNA-Asp". It matches the Rfam family "tRNA". Rfam says of the family: Transfer RNA (tRNA) molecules are approximately 80 nucleotides in length. Their secondary structure includes four short double-helical elements and three loops (D, anti-codon, and T loops). Further hydrogen bonds mediate the characteristic L-shaped molecular structure. tRNAs have two regions of fundamental functional importance: the anti-codon, which is responsible for specific mRNA codon recognition, and the 3' end, to which the tRNAs corresponding amino acid is attached (by aminoacyl-tRNA synthetases). tRNAs cope with the degeneracy of the genetic code in two manners: having more than one tRNA (with a specific anti-codon) for a particular amino acid; and 'wobble' base-pairing, i.e. permitting non-standard base-pairing at the 3rd anti-codon position. RNAcentral also lists the same sequence under 1 other name. The record is from RNAcentral. Lineage: Bacteria; Pseudomonadati; Thermodesulfobacteriota; Desulfobacteria; Desulfobacterales; Desulfobacteraceae.
GCGGGUGUAGUUCAGUUGGUUAGAACGCUAGCCUGUCACGCUAGAGGCCGCGAGUUCGAGUCUCGUCACUCGCGCCA